RNAcentral lists this ribosomal RNA (914 nucleotides) under uncultured marine archaeon. RNAcentral describes it as "bacterial SSU rRNA". It matches the Rfam family "Archaeal small subunit ribosomal RNA", at positions 1 to 922 of the family's 1478-position model. The record is from RNAcentral.
UUCCGGUUGAUCCUGCCGGACCUGACUGCUAUCGGAUUGAUACUAAGCCAUGCGAGUCAUUGUAGCAAUACAAGGCAUACGGCUCAGUAACGCGUAGUCAACCUAACCUAUGGACGGGAAUAACCUCGGGAAACUGAGAAUAAUGCCCGAUAGAACACUAUACCUGGAAUGGUUUGUGUUCCAAAUGAUUUAUCGCCAUAGGAUGGGACUGCGGCCUAUCAGUUUGUUGGUGAGGUAAUGGCCCACCAAGACUAUUACAGGUACGGGCUCUGAGAGGAGUAGCCCGGAGAUGGGUACUGAGACACGGACCCAGGCCCUAUGGGGCGCAGCAGGCGAGAAAACUUUGCAAUGUGCGAAAGCACGACAAGGUUAAUCCGAGUGAUUUGUGCUAAACGAAUCUUUUGUUAGUCCUAGAAACACUAACGAAUAAGGGGUGGGCAAGUUCUGGUGUCAGCCGCCGCGGUAAAACCAGCACCUCAAGUGGUCAGGAUGAUUAUUGGGCCUAAAGCAUCCGUAGCCGGCUCUGUAAGUUUUCGGUUAAAUCUGUACGCUUAACGUACAGGCUGCCGGGAAUACUGCAAAGCUAGGGAGUGGGAGAGGUAGACGGUACUCGGUAGGAAGUGGUAAAAUGCUUUGAUCUAUCGAUGACCACCUGUGGCGAAGGCGGUCUACCAGAACACGUCCGACGGUGAGGGAUGAAAGCUGGGGGAGCAAACCGGAUUAGAUACCCGGGUAGUCCCAGCUGUAAACGAUGCAGACUCGAUGAUGCAUUGGCAUAUAGCCAGUGCAGUGUCGCAGGGAAGCCGUUAAGUCUGCCGCCUGGGAAGUACGUACGCAAGUAUGAAACUUAAAGGAAUUGGCGGGGGAGCACCACAAGGGGUGAAGCCUGCGGUUCAAUUGGAUUCAACGCCGGG